CAGUCGCCGCGGUAAUACGAAGGGUGCAAGCGUUACUCGGAAUUACUGGGCGUAAAGCGUGCGUAGGCGGUUUGUUAAGUCUGCUGUGAAAUCCCCGGGCUCAACCUGGGAAUGGCAGUGGAUACUGGCAAGCUAGAGUGUGUCAGAGGAUGGUGGAAUUCCCGGUGUAGCGGUGAAAUGCGUAGAGAUCGGGAGGAACAUCAGUGGCGAAGGCGGCCAUCUGGGACAACACUGACGCUGAGGCACGAAAGCGUGGGGAGCAAACAGGAUUAGAUACCCGGGUAGUCCCUGUCUCUUAUAC
RNAcentral lists this ribosomal RNA (301 nucleotides) under uncultured bacterium. RNAcentral describes it as "partial 16S ribosomal RNA". It matches the Rfam family "Bacterial small subunit ribosomal RNA", at positions 509 to 807 of the family's 1533-position model. The record is from RNAcentral.